Molecule: ribosomal RNA, 739 nt
Filed under: Kocuria sp.
Lineage: Bacteria; Bacillati; Actinomycetota; Actinomycetes; Micrococcales; Micrococcaceae
Description: bacterial SSU rRNA
Rfam family: Bacterial small subunit ribosomal RNA
Source: RNAcentral
CUCCCGCUUGCGGGGGUGAUUAGUGGCGAACGGGUGAGUAAUACGUGAGUAACCUGCCCUUGACUCUGGGAUAAGCCUGGGAAACCGGGUCUAAUACUGGAUACGACUUCUCAUCGCAUGGUGGGGGGUGGAAAGGGUUUGACUGGUUUUGGAUGGGCUCACGGCCUAUCAGCUUGUUGGUGGGGUAAUGGCUCACCAAGGCGACGACGGGUAGCCGGCCUGAGAGGGUGACCGGCCACACUGGGACUGAGACACGGCCCAGACUCCUACGGGAGGCAGCAGUGGGGAAUAUUGCACAAUGGGCGCAAGCCUGAUGCAGCGACGCCGCGUGAGGGAUGACGGCCUUCGGGUUGUAAACCUCUUUCAGCAGGGAAGAAGCCACAAGUGACGGUACCUGCAGAAGAAGCGCCGGCUAACUACGUGCCAGCAGCCGCGGUAAUACGUAGGGCGCAAGCGUUGUCCGGAAUUAUUGGGCGUAAAGAGCUCGUAGGCGGUUUGUCGCGUCUGCUGUGAAAGCCCGGGGCUCAACCCCGGGUCUGCAGUGGGUACGGGCAGACUAGAGUGCAGUAGGGGAGACUGGAAUUCCUGGUGUAGCGGUGAAAUGCGCAGAUAUCAGGAGGAACACCGAUGGCGAAGGCAGGUCUCUGGGCUGUUACUGACGCUGAGGAGCGAAAGCAUGGGGAGCGAACAGGAUUAGAUACCCUGGUAGUCCAUGCCGUAAACGUUGGGCACUAGGUGU